UACGUAGGGAGCGGGCGUUGUCCGGAUUCAUUGGGCGUAAAGAGCUCGUAGGCGGCUUGGUAAGUCGGAUGUGAAACCUCCAGGCUCAACCUGGAGUCGCCAUCCGAUACUGCCAUGGCUAGAGUCCGGUAGGGGCCCACGGAAUUCCCGGUGUAGCGGUGAAAUGCGCAGAUAUCGGGAAGAACACCCGUGGCGAAGGCGGCUCUCUGGGACGGUACUGACGCUGAGACGCGAAAGCGUGGGGAGCGAACAGG
RNAcentral lists this ribosomal RNA (254 nucleotides) under uncultured bacterium. Its description in RNAcentral is "partial 16S ribosomal RNA". It matches the Rfam family "Bacterial small subunit ribosomal RNA", at positions 524 to 776 of the family's 1533-position model. The record is from RNAcentral.